GACAGAGGGGGCAAGCGUUGCCCGGAAUUACUGGGCGUAAAGGGCGCGUAGGCGGGAUGGCAAGUCGGUCGUGAAAUCCCUCGGCUCAACCGAGGAACGUCGAUCGAUACUGCUGUUCUUGAGGAUUGCAGAGGAGACUGGAAUUCCCGGUGUAGCGGUGAAAUGUGUAGAGAUCGGGAGGAACACCGGUGGCGAAGGCGGGUCUCUGGGCAAUUCCUGACGCUGAGGCGCGAAAGCGUGGGGAGCAAACGGG
This 253-nucleotide ribosomal RNA is filed under the name uncultured bacterium. RNAcentral describes it as "partial 16S ribosomal RNA". It matches the Rfam family "Bacterial small subunit ribosomal RNA", at positions 524 to 776 of the family's 1533-position model. The record is from RNAcentral.